GAACCAUCAAGAGAGAUUGAGGGACAGGCCCAUUGAGAUCUCAGCAACCUACAUAUUAUGUGUGGUGCUAAUUCCUGAUAGAUGGAAA
Molecule: non-coding RNA, 88 nt
Filed under: Fusobacterium animalis ATCC 51191
Lineage: Bacteria; Fusobacteriati; Fusobacteriota; Fusobacteriia; Fusobacteriales; Fusobacteriaceae
Also listed under: 1 other name
Rfam family: SAM riboswitch aptamer (S box leader)
About the family: The SAM riboswitch is found upstream of a number of genes which code for proteins involved in methionine or cysteine biosynthesis in Gram-positive bacteria.
Source: Rfam by way of RNAcentral